Molecule: non-coding RNA, 30 nt
Filed under: Macaca fascicularis (crab-eating macaque)
Lineage: Eukaryota; Metazoa; Chordata; Mammalia; Primates; Cercopithecidae
Also listed under: 1 other name
Source: RNAcentral
UCCUCUGGUGGGGUCCUCUUCCUGGUGAGU